Molecule: ribosomal RNA, 300 nt
Filed under: uncultured Croceibacter sp.
Lineage: Bacteria; Pseudomonadati; Bacteroidota; Flavobacteriia; Flavobacteriales; Flavobacteriaceae
Description: partial 16S ribosomal RNA
Rfam family: Bacterial small subunit ribosomal RNA (bases 51-300)
Source: RNAcentral
GUAACGAUGGGCCAGUGGGCGGGGGGAUGCGGAGGGGGGGAGGGUUUUCCGGAUGAAUGGGGCGUAAGGGGGUUGUAGGGGGCGUGGCAAGUCGGGUGUGAAGACUUCAGGCGCAACCUGGAGCGGCCACUCGAUACUGCUAUGGCUUGAGUCCGGUAGGGGACCACGGAAUUCCUGGUGUAGCGGUGAAAGGCGCAGAUAUCAGGAGGAACACCAGUGGCGAAGGCGGUGGUCUGGGCCGGAACUGACGCUGAGGAGCGAAAGCGUGGGUAGCAAACAGGAUUAGAUACCCCUGUAGUC